Molecule: ribosomal RNA, 401 nt
Filed under: uncultured archaeon
Lineage: Archaea
Description: bacterial SSU rRNA
Rfam family: Archaeal small subunit ribosomal RNA
Source: RNAcentral
AGAGCGGUAGCCCGGAGAUGGGCACUGAGACAAGGGCCCAGGCCCUACGGGGCGCAGCAGUUGCGAAAACUCCGCAAUGGGCGAAAGCGCGACGGGGUUACCCCGAGUGCCGUCCGCUGAGGACGGCUUUUCUCCGGUGUAAUGAGUCGGAGGUAAUAAGGGGAGGGCAAGACUGGUGUCAGCCGCCGCGGUAAUACCAGCUCCCCUAGUGGUAGGGACAAUUAUUGGGCUUAAAGCGUCCGUAGCCGGCUUGCUAAGUCUUCCGUUAAAUCCAGCGACCUAAUCGCUGGGCUGCGGGAGAUACUAUCAGGCUAGGGGGCGGGAGAGGCCGACGGUAUUCUCGGGGUAGGGGUGAAAUCCUAUAAUCCUGAGAAGACCACCAGUGGCGAAGGCGGUCGGCU